RNAcentral lists this long non-coding RNA (1503 nucleotides) under Drosophila guanche. The record is from RNAcentral. Lineage: Eukaryota; Metazoa; Arthropoda; Insecta; Diptera; Drosophilidae.
CAAACUUUCAGCUUUAUUGUAAACAUCGGAACAAAAAUGAUAGCCAUAAGAAACCUAAAGAAAAGAAUAAACGAGCAUGGCGGAUAGAGCAGAAUUUCAAUUGCACUACGAGUUCAAUGCGGAAGGAAGCAGACAUCAUGCUAAAUAUUAUCUCUCACAUGCGGUUUGUUACAUUAUUUGGAUAAUCAUUUUGCAAAUGUAAUCAAUUUAUUGUGUUUCUAGAACUUUAGUCUUGUUCAGGCAGCCGAUGUACGACACAUCCAUUGCCCACGUUGUUACUGGCGAGAUCUACUCCGUAGCACCAAGUCGGAAAGUACUGAAGAGCUGAAGCGUGACGUGCUUCAUCAUAGGUGCCUUGGAGGAUUUGCCUAGGGAUGUCUUCUGCGAUGUUGUCACGGUCAAAAUAGGUGGUUGGCGAUUUCUGCUCCCAGGUGGUAGAGUUGAAAGUCACGCAAAUGAGUGACCAGUCGGAAACUAUGGAACGCGAAAGUAGAUGAUCGACUGUCGCUGCUGUUCCCCCCGGCAAGAGUUUUCAAAUUUUGGCAGUGACAGCCACAACCAACAAUGACGGCCAUUAUGGUCCCAAUGUGCGGCUUGAAGAGUCAGAGGAGAGUGACAAUAUAUACAGAUAUAUGUAUUCGGCGAGGCAAAGGACGAUUGUGUACCAGAUAGGAAUAUACAGACGAGCAUUGAUUAGGCGCGACACGCAGAGAAUGUGAGUAUAUCAGCGGUACGCAUCUUUAAAUGUAUUUAAUGAUCAAUCUUGUGUGUUUUCUUCCUCCACAGUUGGCCAAUGAAGAGGCUGACAGCAAUGUCUACAAAUAUCCCCUGAACAUCGGCGCCUAUUGGCUGCAAAGUUGUCUGAGCAAGAUUUAAAAGAACAUCAUAGUGUCGCUGUCUGCCGAUGUACUCAAGAUCCACAAAAAUGAUUGCCAGCUCGCAGACAGCGACCCAGAACAAAAUCAAGGAUUCGUAUUAGCGACAUGUGUCGGAAUUUGGUGUGGUGUCAAGCGAUGCAGUGAGACGGUAAGGUGUGUAUUGACUGUUCCAGCAGCUCUUCUUUUUAUAAACUUCUUGUUUUGUGUUUUUCAGAAAAUCGUAUCCGUUUUCGUGUUCAUAGAGCUGAAGGAUGAGGAUCGCACGCUUCUAUUGCCGCUUUCCUACACGCAGAUGGCCGAUGGGGCCCAUUGAACUCAGCUAUGUGGGGAUCCAGCUGAAGCGUGAAUGUCUCCAGUUAAUCCAACUUUUUGUACUGCGAAAGAUCAAGGAAGGCCGGCGUGUCGAUGUUCCCGGCAACCAAGACUAUACCUUGUCCAACAUAAGCGACUCCUACGUGGGCUGCGAUCAGGAGUAGAAGGACUACAAGGAUCAGGAGUCGAAGUGGCCGAUUUCCAAUCUGACAAUCAGACCGAGUCGGAUUAGGGCGUACGUUAAGAUUAGUAUACAUAACAAAUCCUACCCUAAUAAAACAUGUAGCAUACUCUUGGGGCUACCCGAUAAUAC